Molecule: ribosomal RNA, 497 nt
Filed under: uncultured bacterium
Lineage: Bacteria
Description: partial 16S ribosomal RNA
Rfam family: Bacterial small subunit ribosomal RNA
Source: RNAcentral
GAUGAACGCUGGCGGCGUGCCUAAUACAUGCAAGUCGAGCGAACGGACGAGAAGCUUGCUUCUCUGAUGUUAGCGGCGGACGGGUGAGUAACACGUGGAUAACCUACCUAUAAGACUGGGAUAACUUCGGGAAACCGGUGCUAAUACCGGAUAAUAUUUUGAACCGCAUGGUUCAAAAGUGAAAGACGGUCUUGCUGUCACUUAUAGAUGGAUCCGCGCUGCAUUAGCUAGUUGGUAAGGUAACGGCUUACCAAGACAACGAUGCAUAGCCGACCUGAGAGGGUGAUCGGCCACACUGGAACUGAGACACGGUCCAGACUCCUACGGGAGGCAGCAGUAGGGAAUCUUCCGCAAUGGGCGAAAGCCUGACGGAGCAACGCCGCGUGAGUGAUGAAGGUCUUCGGAUCGUAAAACUCUGUUAUUAGGGAAGAACAUAUGUGUAAGUAACUGUGCACAUCUUGACGGUACCUAAUCAGAAAGCCACGGCUAACUACGUG